Molecule: ribosomal RNA, 468 nt
Filed under: uncultured bacterium
Lineage: Bacteria
Description: bacterial SSU rRNA
Rfam family: Bacterial small subunit ribosomal RNA
Source: RNAcentral
GUCCAGACUCCUACGGGAGGCAGCAGUGAGGAAUAUUGGUCAAUGGGCGCGAGCCUGAACCAGCCAAGUAGCGUGAAGGAUGACUGCCUUACGGGUUGUAAACUUCUUUUAUAAAGGAAUAAAGUGAGGCACGUGUGCCUUUUUGUAUGUACUUUAUGAAUAAGGAUCGGCUAACUCCGUGCCAGCAGCCGCGGUAAUACGGAGGAUCCGAGCGUUAUCCGGAUUUAUUGGGUUUAAAGGGAGCGUAGAUGGGUUGUUAAGUCAGUUGUGAAAGUUUGCGGCUCAACCGUAAAAUUGCAAUUGAUACUGGCAGCCUUGAGUACAGUUGAGGUAGGCGGAAUUCGUGGUGUAGCGGUGAAAUGCAUAGAUAUCACGCAGAACGCCGAUUGCGAAGGCAGCUUACCGGCGCUCAACUGACGCUGAGGCACGAAAGUGCGGGUAUCGAACAGGAUUAGAUACCCUGGUACA